This 603-nucleotide ribosomal RNA is filed under the name Triticum aestivum (bread wheat). Its description in RNAcentral is "partial small subunit ribosomal RNA". Lineage: Eukaryota; Viridiplantae; Streptophyta; Magnoliopsida; Poales; Poaceae. The record is from RNAcentral.
AUGGACGCCGGCUGUGAUGUCCAGCAUAGGCGAGAUGCCUUUGCGGCUGGAUUCUACUACAAGCCCUAUGUCCAGCCUAGGCGGGGCGCUGUCAUUGGAGAUGAAGCCUACUUCACACUUCGCUGGGGUAACCCAGUCGUCAAGUAUAACUGGAGCAAGAAUCACAUAUCCCUGAUUGAUCCGCCAACAAAGUGUGUGUACAACGUUGGUGUCAAAAAAAAGUCUGUGGACAAGGUCGCCCUCAUGGUGAUGGAGGACAGUUCACUGGGGUUUGCCUGCGUUGAGGGUUCCAGCCUUCAUCUGUGGUCAAGAAAGGUGAAUGCAGAAGGAGAUGCAGAGUGGGCAUGGUGCAGGGCCAUCCAGCUGGAGAGUAUUAUACCUGUUGCCAAUUCUGAUGACAAACCAUUUGUGGUUGGAUCUGCAGAGGGUGUGGGUGUCAUAUUCGUCAGCACCGGUGCUGGCUUAUUCACAAUCAAGCUAGAUUCUGGGCUGGUUAAGAAGGUUGCCGAGUCUGGGGUCUACUUCAGCGUCCUACCCUACAUGAGCUUCUAUACUCCAGAUCGUGGUAGAUUUCCAUCCCUGGCGGAGAUCACUGAUGUCUGA